This 497-nucleotide ribosomal RNA is filed under the name uncultured bacterium. Its description in RNAcentral is "partial 16S ribosomal RNA". It matches the Rfam family "Bacterial small subunit ribosomal RNA", at positions 28 to 507 of the family's 1533-position model. The record is from RNAcentral.
GAUGAACGCUGGCGGCGUGCCUAAUACAUGCAAGUCGAGCGAACAGACGAGGAGCUUGCUCCUCUGACGUUAGCGGCGGACGGGUGAGUAACACGUGGAUAACCUACCUAUAAGACUGGGAUAACUUCGGGAAACCUGAGCUAAUACCGGAUAAUAUAUUGAACCGCAUGGUUCAAUAGUGAACGACGGUUUUGCUGUCACUUAUAGAUGGAUCCUCGCCGCAUUAGCUAGUUGGUAAGGUAACGGCUUACCAAGGCAACGAUGCGUAGCCGACCUGAGAGGGUGAUCGGCCACACUGGAACUGAGACACGGUCCAGACUCCUACGGGAGGCAGCAGUAGGGAAUCUUCCGCAAUGGGCGAAAGCUUGACGGAGCAACGCCGCGUGAGUGAUGAAGGUCUUCGGAUCGUAAAACUCUGUUAUUAGGGAAGAACAAAUGUGUAAGUAACUAUGCACGUCUUGACGGUACCUAAUCAGAAAGCCACGGCUAACUACGUG